UAAUACGGGGGGGGCAAGCGUUGUUCGGAAUUACUGGGCGUAAAGGGCUCGUAGGCGGCCAACUAAGUCGGAUGUGAAAUCCCCAGGCUUAACCUGGGAACUGCAUCCGAUACUGGAUGGCUUGAAUCCGGGAGAGGGAUGCAGAAUUCCAGGUGUAGCGGUGAAAUGCGUAGAUAUCUGGAGGAAUACCGGUGGCGAAGGCGGCAUCCUGGACCGGCAUUGACGCUGAGUGAGCGAAAGCCAGGGGAGCAAACGGGA
RNAcentral lists this ribosomal RNA (258 nucleotides) under uncultured prokaryote. Its description in RNAcentral is "partial 16S ribosomal RNA". It matches the Rfam family "Bacterial small subunit ribosomal RNA", at positions 521 to 777 of the family's 1533-position model. The record is from RNAcentral.